UAACCCCAACUCAAGUAUGACUACCCGCUG
Molecule: ribosomal RNA, 30 nt
Filed under: Balanophora reflexa
Lineage: Eukaryota; Viridiplantae; Streptophyta; Magnoliopsida; Santalales; Balanophoraceae
Description: partial 26S ribosomal RNA
Source: RNAcentral